This 607-nucleotide ribosomal RNA is filed under the name unidentified microorganism. RNAcentral's name for it is "bacterial SSU rRNA". It matches the Rfam family "Bacterial small subunit ribosomal RNA", at positions 796 to 1405 of the family's 1533-position model. The record is from RNAcentral.
UACGCUGUAAACGCUGAAUACUAGGUGUGGGAGGACUGACCCCUUCCGUGCCGCAGUUAACACAAUAAGUAUUCCACCUGGGGAGUACGACCGCAAGGUUGAAACUCAAAGGAAUUGACGGGGGCCCGCACAAGCAGUGGAUUAUGUGGUUUAAUUCGACGCAACGCGAAGAACCUUACCAGGACUUGACAUCCAACUAACGAAGCAGAGAUACAUUAGGUGCCCUUCGGGGGAAAGUUGAGACAGGUGGUGUAUGGUUGUCGUCAGCUCGUGUCGUGAGAUGUUGGGUUAAGUCCCGCAACGAGCGCAACCCCUAUUGUUAGUUGCUACGAAAGAGCACUCUAGCGAGACUGCCGUUGACAAAACGGAGGAAGGCGGGGACGACGUCAAAUCAUCAUGCCCCUUAUGUCCUGGGCUACACACGUAAUACAAUGGUGGCCAACAGAGGGAAGCAAAACCGCGAGGUAGAGCAAAACCCUAAAAGCCAUCUCAGUUCGGAUUGCAGGCUGCAACUCGCCUGCAUGAAGCUGGAAUUGCUAGUAAUCGCGGAUCAGAAAGCCGCGGUGAAUACGUUCCCGGGCCUUGUACACACCGCCCGUCACACCAU